GACGAACGCUGGCGGCGUGCUUAACACAUGCAAGUCGAACGGAAAGGCCCUGCUUUUGUGGGGUGCUCGAGUGGCGAACGGGUGAGUAACACGUGAGUAACCUGCCCUUGACUUUGGGAUAACUUCAGGAAACUGGGGCUAAUACCGGAUAGGAGCUCCUGCUGCAUGGUGGGGGUUGGAAAGUUUCGGCGGUUGGGGAUGGACUCGCGGCUUAUCAGCUUGUUGGUGGGGUAGUGGCUUACCAAGGCUUUGACGGGUAGCCGGCCUGAGAGGGUGACCGGCCACAUGGGGACUGAGAUACGGCCCAGACUCCUACGGGAGGCAGCAGUGGGGAAUAUUGCACAAUGGGCGGAAGCCUGAUGCAGCAACGCCACGUGCGGGAUGACGGCCUUCGGGUUGUAAACCGCUUUCGCCUGUGACGAAGCGUGAGUGACGGUAAUGGGUAAAGAAGCACCGGCUAACUACGUG
RNAcentral lists this ribosomal RNA (468 nucleotides) under uncultured bacterium. RNAcentral's name for it is "partial 16S ribosomal RNA". It matches the Rfam family "Bacterial small subunit ribosomal RNA", at positions 28 to 507 of the family's 1533-position model. The record is from RNAcentral.